UCUCCGUUGGUGAACCAGCGGAGGGAUCAUUACAGAGUUCCACAACUCCCAACCACUGCGAACCGUACCCCAGUUUGUUCUCGUUGCCUCCUGGCGGCGGGCCCCCGGCGCCACCGCCGGGGCCCCCGCCAGCGGCGGCGAUCCCCCUGAACCUUUUUUUCUCAACCAGCCCGACUGAGCAAACAAACAAAUGAAUCAAAACUUUCAACAACGGAUCUCUUGGUUCUG
Molecule: unclassified non-coding RNA, 228 nt
Filed under: plant metagenome
Description: partial contains small subunit ribosomal RNA, internal transcribed spacer 1, and 5.8S ribosomal RNA
Source: RNAcentral